AGCCUGCCCAGUGACUAAGUUAAACGGCCGCGGUACCCUAACCGUGCAAAGGUAGCGCAAUCACUUGUUCUUUAAAUGAGGACUAGUAUGAACGGCAUCACGAGGGUUACACUGUCUCCCUAUUCCAUUCAGUGAAACUGAUCUUCCCGUGAAGAAGCGGGAAUAUAAAUAUAAGACGAGAAGACCCCAUGGAGCUUUAAACUCAGUGUCAUCUGCCACUUCAAUACCCUCUUAAUUACGCAGACCAUGAUAACUAGUUUUCGGUUGGGGUGACCGCGGAGUAAAACAAAACCUCCACAACGAAAGGAACUAACAACCUAAUCCAAGAGCAACAUCUCUAAGAAUCAACAAAUUGACUUAAUUGAUCCAAUCACUUGAUCAACGAACCAAGUUACCCUGGGGAUAACAGCGCAAUCCAUUUCAAGAGCUCAUAUCGACAAAUGGGUUUACGACCUCGAUGUUGGAUCAGGGUAUCCCAGUGGCGCAGCAGCUACUAACGGUUCGUUUGUUCAACGAUUAAA
Molecule: ribosomal RNA, 521 nt
Filed under: Microhyla nilphamariensis
Lineage: Eukaryota; Metazoa; Chordata; Amphibia; Anura; Microhylidae
Description: partial 16S ribosomal RNA
Rfam family: Bacterial large subunit ribosomal RNA
Source: RNAcentral